AGUGAACGCUGGCGGUAGGCCUAACACAUGCAAGUCGAACGGCAGCACAGUAAGAGCUUGCUCUUACGGGUGGCGAGUGGCGGACGGGUGAGGAAUACAUCGGAAUCUACUUUUUCGUGGGGGAUAACGUAGGGAAACUUACGCUAAUACCGCAUACGACCUACGGGUGAAAGCAGGGGAUCUUCGGACCUUGCGCGAUUGAAUGAGACGAUGUCGGAUUAGCUAGUUGGCGGGGUAAAGGCCCACCAAGGCGACGAUCCGUAGCUGGUCUGAGAGGAUGAUCAGCCACACUGGAACUGAGACACAGUCCAGACUCCUACGGGAGGCAGCAGUGGGGAAUAUUGGACAAUGGGCGCAAGCCUGAUCCAGCCAUACCGCGUGGGUGAAGAAGGCCUUCGGGUUGUAAAGCCCUUUUGUUGGGAAAGAAAAGCAGCAGGUUAAUACCCCGCUGUUCUGACGGUACCCAAAGAAUAAGCACCGGCUAACUUCGUG
Molecule: ribosomal RNA, 492 nt
Filed under: uncultured bacterium
Lineage: Bacteria
Description: partial 16S ribosomal RNA
Rfam family: Bacterial small subunit ribosomal RNA
Source: RNAcentral